UACGGGGGGGGCAAGCGUUGUUCGGAAUUACUGGGCGUAAAGGGCUCGUAGGUGGCCAACUAAGUCAGACGUGAAAUCCCUCAGCUUAACUGGGGAACUGCGUCUGAUACUGGAUGGCUUGAGUUUGGGAGAGGGACGCGGAAUUCCUGGUGUAGCGGUGAAAUGCGCAGAUAUCAGGAGGAGCACCAAUGGCGAAGGCAGCUCGCUGGGACGUGACUGACGCUGAGACGCGAAAGCGUGGGGAGCAAACAGG
This 253-nucleotide ribosomal RNA is filed under the name uncultured bacterium. RNAcentral describes it as "partial 16S ribosomal RNA". It matches the Rfam family "Bacterial small subunit ribosomal RNA", at positions 524 to 776 of the family's 1533-position model. The record is from RNAcentral.